ACAUACGACCAUAGGGUGUGGAAAACAGAGCUUCCCGUCCGCUCAGCCGUACUUAAGCCACACGCCGGGAGGUUAGUAGUUGGGUGGGUGACCACCAGCGAAUCCCUUCUGUUGUAUGUU
Non-coding RNA from Aspergillus niger ATCC 1015, 120 nucleotides. NCBI's taxonomy places the organism in Eukaryota, Fungi, Ascomycota, Eurotiomycetes, Eurotiales, Aspergillaceae. The record is from Rfam.